This 253-nucleotide ribosomal RNA is filed under the name uncultured bacterium. RNAcentral's name for it is "partial 16S ribosomal RNA". It matches the Rfam family "Bacterial small subunit ribosomal RNA", at positions 524 to 776 of the family's 1533-position model. The record is from RNAcentral.
UACGAAGGACCCGAGCGUUAUCCGGAUUUAUUGGGUUUAAAGGGUGCGUAGGCGGGAUAGUAAGUCAGUGGUGAAAGCCUGUUGCUUAACAACAGAAUUGCCAUUGAUACUGCUAACCUUGAAUACAGUUGAUGUGGGCGGAAUAUGACAUGUAGCGGUGAAAUGCUUAGAUAUGUCAUAGAACACCUAUUGCGAAGGCAGCUCACAAAACUGUUAUUGACGCUGAGGCACGAAAGCGUGGGGAUCAAACAGG